RNAcentral lists this long non-coding RNA (489 nucleotides) under Helianthus annuus (common sunflower). RNAcentral describes it as "hypothetical non coding rna". The record is from RNAcentral. Lineage: Eukaryota; Viridiplantae; Streptophyta; Magnoliopsida; Asterales; Asteraceae.
AAUUUAUCUCUCAUUCUCUUCACACAGAGAAUCUUCUUCAACUCAACUCAUAUAUAUAUAUGUAAAUUGAACUUCAACUUAUAGCGGUGCAAGUGACGGUGAAGGCCACAAAGCAUCAUCGGUGGCGUCUCGGAGGAUUCCGCCGGCGUCUUCUAUGCUGUGGGUCCGUAACCUCUGCCUACAUCGGUCUUGUCAUGGGUAUGGAAAAUUAAUAUAGCUUGAAUCAAGCUUUACGAGCUUAGGAACAAACCGAAGUUGAAGUGAAUGAUCUCUAAUUAGUCGUCACACAAUAUCUGCAAUCCAGGGGUGCUUUUUCCCUGUCUUUUUUUUCAUUGACUAAAGGCUGACACUCAUUUUUAUGCCUAUUAUGCCCUUGCCUCUUAUUGUUGGGUUCGCGCUACUUCUGUUGCAAUUGGUAAAUUUAGGUAUGGGUGUUGACCCAAAACAUUGUUGAUGAUAAUGUUAAUAACCAGAGGAGGCAAUUCUGAC